GUGAAUCAUCGAAUCUUUGAACGCAAAUUGCGCUUCCUGCCGUCCCGGGAAGUAUGCCUGUUUGAGGCUCAGUAUUAAUAAAAACUCGGUUUAGUUACAAAUUCUGACGUUUCCGGAGUGUAGACUAUCUUAACAUUUUGAGUUAAGAGGCUUAAAAUUGACCUUUUUUGCUCAUUUUUAAUCGUAAAUUAAUUUUUUUUAUUCGUUUAUUCUUAAUGCCAAAAUCUAAUUAGAUGCAAUCUCAUCGUG
RNAcentral lists this unclassified non-coding RNA (249 nucleotides) under Rhizophagus sp. (in: glomeromycetes). Its description in RNAcentral is "partial internal transcribed spacer 2". The stretch from base 1 to 71 matches the Rfam family "5.8S ribosomal RNA", at positions 84 to 154 of the family's 154-position model. The record is from RNAcentral. Lineage: Eukaryota; Fungi; Glomeromycota; Glomeromycetes; Glomerales; Glomeraceae.